UGACACAGGGAGGUAGUGACAAGAAAUAACAAUACAGGGCUUAAAGUCUUGUAAUUGGAAUGAUGGGAAUCUAAACCCUUCCCAGAGUAUCAAUUGGAGGGCAAGUCUGGUGCCAGCAGCCGCGGUAAUUCCAGCUCCAAUAGCGUAUAUUAAAGUUGUUGCAGUUAAGAAGCUCGUAGUUGAAUUUCUGCCUUGUCAUUAAUCUCGCUUCCGAGCGUUUUUUUAUUGGCUUGGCAUCAUCUGGAUUUGGUGCCUUCGGGUACUGUUUCCAGGGUUUACUUUGAGAAAACUAGAGUGUUUCAAACAGGCAUUUGCCUUGAAUACUACAGCAUGGAAUAAUGAAGUAGGACUUUGGUUCUAUUUUGUUGGUUAUUGAACCAGAGUAAUGGUUAAUAGGAGCAGUUGGGGGCAUUCGUAUUUAACUGUCAGAGGUGAAAUUCUUAG
RNAcentral lists this ribosomal RNA (444 nucleotides) under uncultured Babesia. RNAcentral's name for it is "SSU rRNA". It matches the Rfam family "Eukaryotic small subunit ribosomal RNA", at positions 452 to 923 of the family's 1831-position model. Lineage: Eukaryota; Apicomplexa; Aconoidasida; Piroplasmida; Babesiidae. The record is from RNAcentral.